This 843-nucleotide ribosomal RNA is filed under the name Torula fici. Its description in RNAcentral is "LSU rRNA". It matches the Rfam family "Eukaryotic large subunit ribosomal RNA", at positions 114 to 974 of the family's 3401-position model. The record is from RNAcentral. Lineage: Eukaryota; Fungi; Ascomycota; Dothideomycetes; Pleosporales; Torulaceae.
UUUGAAAUCUGGCUCCUUUGGGGUCCGAGUUGUAAUUUGCAGAGGGAGCUUUUGGCGUCGGUCGUGGUCUAAGUUCCUUGGAACAGGACGUCACAGAGGGUGAGAAUCCCGUACGUGGCCGCCGGCCUUCGCCUUGUAAAGCCCCUUCGACGAGUCGAGUUGUUUGGGAAUGCAGCUCUAAAUGGGAGGUAAAUUUCUUCUAAAGCUAAAUACCCGCCAGAGACCGAUAGCGCACAAGUAGAGUGAUCGAAAGAUGAAAAGCACUUUGGAAAGAGAGUGAAAAAGCACGUGAAAUUGUUGAAAGGGAAGCGCUUGCGGCCAGACGUGCCCGCGGUUGAUCAUCCAGGCUCCAGCCUGGUGCACUCCUCCGCGGGCAGGCCAGCAUCAGUUCGGGCGGUCGGAUAAAGGCCUCUAUCACGUACCACCCCUCGGGGUGGCCUUAUAGGGGAGGCGCAACACGGCCAGCCCGGACUGAGGUUCCGCGCAUCUGCUAGGAUGCUGGCGUAAUGGCAGCAAGCGGCCCGUCUUGAAACACGGACCAAGGAGUCUAACAUCUAUGCGAGUGUUUGGGUGUCAAGCCCGAGCGCGCAAUGAAAGUGAACGGAGGUGGGAACCCUUACCGGUGCACCAUCGACCGAUCCUGAUGUCUUCGGAUGGAUUUGAGUAAGAGCAUAGCUGUUGGGACCCGAAAGAUGGUGAACUAUGCCUGAAUAGGGUGAAGCCAGAGGAAACUCUGGUGGAGGCUCGCAGCGGUUCUGACGUGCAAAUCGAUCGUCAAAUUUGGGCAUAGGGGCGAAAGACUAAUCGAACCAUCUAGUAGCUGGUUCCUGCCGAAGUUCCCUC